Molecule: ribosomal RNA, 497 nt
Filed under: uncultured bacterium
Lineage: Bacteria
Description: partial 16S ribosomal RNA
Rfam family: Bacterial small subunit ribosomal RNA
Source: RNAcentral
GACGAACGCUGGCGGCGUGCCUAAUACAUGCAAGUCGAACGCUGAAGAGAGGAGCUUCCUCUUCUUGGAUGAGUUGCGAACGGGUGAGUAACGCGUAGGUAACCUGCCUUGUAGCGGGGGAUAACUAUUGGAAACGAUAGCUAAUACCGCAUAACAAUGGAUGACACAUGUCAUUUAUUUGAAAGGGGCAAUUGCUCCACUACAAGAUGGACCUGCGUUGUAUUAGCUAGUAGGUGAGGUAAUGGCUCACCUAGGCGACGAUACAUAGCCGACCUGAGAGGGUGAUCGGCCACACUGGGACUGAGACACGGUCCAGACUCCUACGGGAGGCAGCAGUAGGGAAUCUUCGGCAAUGGGGGCAACCCUGACCGAGCAACGCCGCGUGAGUGAAGAAGGUUUUCGGAUCGUAAAGCUCUGUUGUAAGUCAAGAACGGGUGUGAGAGUGGAAAGUUCACACUGUGACGGUAGCUUACCAGAAAGGGACGGCUAACUACGUG